GAUGGCAGCAAAUACAUGCGCUGGGAGGUCAGCCUAGGUAACCUCAACAGGGAAGCGUCCUUCCAAGGGAAUAAAGUAGAGCAUGGCUUAAAGAGAGCUACUUUGGACGAAAAGAGAGGCAAAGUGAGACAGAAAACACCUUCCCGAGAAGAGGAAAAGACCCGGUAGCCACCCAGCCCACCUUUAUUAGAUUUUCAUAAAUCGAGGGUGUAUUUUUUCCAUUUAGAAAGGCUACGUGUGGUGGGGUUUUCCUCCCCCUGAGCAGACAAUGAACUGUGCAGGAGAGCAGUGGUUUUUCCACCGCCUAUUGUGAAAAUAUUUUUAAAAAUCAAGCUGCGUUUGCUGUGAAGAAAUAGUCUUCAUACCCGAAUAAUCUCGAGGACGGCACGAUGACCAUAUUCAUUUUACAGGAGAACUC
Chroicocephalus ridibundus (black-headed gull) is the source of this 418-nucleotide long non-coding RNA. RefSeq lists it as uncharacterized. The record is from RefSeq and is a predicted model, not a curated record. The transcript has 3 exons. NCBI's taxonomy places the organism in Eukaryota, Metazoa, Chordata, Aves, Charadriiformes, Laridae.